GAUGAACGCUGGCGGCGUGCCUAAUACAUGCAAGUCGAGCGAACAGAUAAGGAGCUUGCUCCUUUGACGUUAGCGGCGGACGGGUGAGUAACACGUGGGUAACCUACCUAUAAGACUGGAAUAACUCCGGGAAACCGGUGCUAAUGCCGGAUAACAUUUAGAACCGCAUGGUUCUAAAGUUAAAGGUGUUUUUGCUAUCACUUAUAGAUGGACCCGCGCCGUAUUAGCUAGUUGGUAAGGUAACGGCUUACCAAGGCAACGAUACGUAGCCGACCUGAGAGGGUGAUCGGCCACACUGGAACUGAGACACGGUCCAGACUCCUACGGGAGGCAGCAGUAGGGAAUCUUCCGCAAUGGGCGAAAGCCUGACGGAGCAACGCCGCGUGAGUGAUGAAGGUCUUCGGAUCGUAAAACUCUGUUAUUAGGGAAGAACAAAUGUGUAAGUAACUGUGCACGUCUUGACGGUACCUAAUCAGAAAGCCACGGCUAACUACGUG
RNAcentral lists this ribosomal RNA (497 nucleotides) under uncultured bacterium. RNAcentral describes it as "partial 16S ribosomal RNA". It matches the Rfam family "Bacterial small subunit ribosomal RNA", at positions 28 to 507 of the family's 1533-position model. The record is from RNAcentral.